This 236-nucleotide ribosomal RNA is filed under the name uncultured bacterium. Its description in RNAcentral is "partial 16S ribosomal RNA". It matches the Rfam family "Bacterial small subunit ribosomal RNA", at positions 102 to 334 of the family's 1533-position model. The record is from RNAcentral.
CGCGAAGGGUGAGUAAGGCGACGGUAACCAACCCCAGGACUGGGUAUAGCCGCGGGAAACUGCGGGUAAUCCCCAGCGAUGUCACGAAGGGGCAUCUCUUUGUGACCAAAGCUCCGGCGUCGUGGGACGGGCCGUCGUGGUAUUAGGUUGUUGGCGGGGUAACGGCCCACCAAGCCUCUGAUGCCUACCGGGCGUGCGAGCGUGGCCCGGCACACUGGGACUGAGACACUGCCCAG